AUUUAAGUUCAGGAACUUUGCAGAUCUCUUAUUAACUAUUCAGUUAAUAAUGAGAGUCCUAUGGCUCUUGAUAUCUAGCAUCCUGGCUUCACUCACAUGGAUGAGCCCCAGCUGGAAUGCCUAGAAGACGUGGGACAGCUGGAUCUCUCUCCACACGGUUUUUCAUUGUUGCCUCAGGUUCCAAUAAAAGCAAAAGCUGCAAGGUCUUCUGAGGCAAAGACUUAGAAAUACCACAAUGUUACUUCUGCUGCAUUCUGUUGAUAAAAAAAAUCCCACAAUGCCAGCUUCAUUUAAAGCAGUAAAGAUAUAGAUUAUUCACCUUCGAUGGGAGGAACUGCAAAUGAUGUAAUUAGUGAUAAUUUUUAAUAUACUGUAAUGUAUUGACU
Molecule: long non-coding RNA, 386 nt
Filed under: Pan troglodytes (chimpanzee)
Lineage: Eukaryota; Metazoa; Chordata; Mammalia; Primates; Hominidae
Description: lincRNA
Source: RNAcentral